CUCAUCCGAUCUUCUUUCUCACCUAGUCAGUGCUGGAGUUUGGAUAGUUGUCCCAAUCCCUGUGAGACCUUCUAGUUCUUGCACGACUCGGAUCAAUUUCUUGGUCUAUGAUCGAUAGAGAUGAGUUUUUGGCAUAUUGAAAUCGGUCCCGAUUUUUGAUUGAUCCCCGAUAUGUUAAUACAUACAAGGCAGUAGUGGAAACUCCAUACAGUUGAUCUUUUGCAUCCGCUUCAAGAU
Molecule: long non-coding RNA, 237 nt
Filed under: Elaeis guineensis (African oil palm)
Lineage: Eukaryota; Viridiplantae; Streptophyta; Magnoliopsida; Arecales; Arecaceae
Description: long non-coding RNA (EGUI_LNC000792)
Source: RNAcentral